GGAAGUGUGGCAGAGCGGUUGAAUGCACUAGUCUUGAAAACUAGCAUGGAUAAAACCAUCAGGGGUUCGAAUCCUCUCACUUCCGCAA
RNAcentral lists this transfer RNA (88 nucleotides) under Bacteroidia bacterium. Its description in RNAcentral is "tRNA-Ser". It matches the Rfam family "tRNA". Rfam says of the family: Transfer RNA (tRNA) molecules are approximately 80 nucleotides in length. Their secondary structure includes four short double-helical elements and three loops (D, anti-codon, and T loops). Further hydrogen bonds mediate the characteristic L-shaped molecular structure. tRNAs have two regions of fundamental functional importance: the anti-codon, which is responsible for specific mRNA codon recognition, and the 3' end, to which the tRNAs corresponding amino acid is attached (by aminoacyl-tRNA synthetases). tRNAs cope with the degeneracy of the genetic code in two manners: having more than one tRNA (with a specific anti-codon) for a particular amino acid; and 'wobble' base-pairing, i.e. permitting non-standard base-pairing at the 3rd anti-codon position. Lineage: Bacteria; Pseudomonadati; Bacteroidota; Bacteroidia. RNAcentral also lists the same sequence under 1 other name. The record is from RNAcentral.